UGGGCGAUUAGCUCAGCGGGAGAGCACUGCCUUCACACGGCAGGGGUCACUGGUUCAAUCCCAGUAUCGCCCACCAU
Molecule: transfer RNA, 77 nt
Filed under: Ahrensia sp. R2A130
Lineage: Bacteria; Pseudomonadati; Pseudomonadota; Alphaproteobacteria; Hyphomicrobiales; Ahrensiaceae
Description: tRNA-Val
Rfam family: tRNA
About the family: Transfer RNA (tRNA) molecules are approximately 80 nucleotides in length. Their secondary structure includes four short double-helical elements and three loops (D, anti-codon, and T loops).
Source: RNAcentral